Molecule: ribosomal RNA, 484 nt
Filed under: uncultured bacterium
Lineage: Bacteria
Description: partial 16S ribosomal RNA
Rfam family: Bacterial small subunit ribosomal RNA
Source: RNAcentral
AUUGAACGCUGGCGGCAGGCCUAACACAUGCAAGUCGAGCGGAUGAAGGGAGCUUGCUCCUGGAUUCAGCGGCGGACGGGUGAGUAAUGCCUAGGAAUCUGCCUGGUAGUGGGGGAUAACGUCCGGAAACGGGCGCUAAUACCGCAUACGUCCUGAGGGAGAAAGUGGGGGAUCUUCGGACCUCACGCUAUCGGAUAAGCCUAGGUCGGAUUAGUUAGUUGGUGGGGUAAAGGCCUACCAAGGCGACGAUCCGUAACUGGUCUGAGAGGAUGAUCAGUCACACUGGAACUGAGACACGGUCCAGACUCCUACGGGAGGCAGCAGUGGGGAAUAUUGGACAAUGGGCGAAAGCCUGAUCCAGCCAUGCCGCGUGUGUGAAGAAGGUCUUCGGAUCGUAAAGCACUUUAAGUUGGGAGGAAGGGCAGUAAGUUAAUACCUUGCUGUUUUGACGUUACCAACAGAAUAAGCACCGGCUAACUUCGUG